UACGGAGGGUGCAAGCGUUAUCCGGAUUUACUGGGUUUAAAGGGUGCGUAGGUGGGUCGGUAAGUCAGUGGUGAAAUCUUCGAGCUUAACUCGGAAACUGCCAUUGAUACUAUUUAUCUUGAAUACUUUGGAGGUAAGCGGAAUAUGUCAUGUAGCGGUGAAAUGCUUAGAUAUGACAUAGAACACCAAUUGCGAAGGCAGCUUACUACACAGUUAUUGACACUGAGGCACGAAAGCGUGGGGAUCAAACAGG
Molecule: ribosomal RNA, 253 nt
Filed under: uncultured bacterium
Lineage: Bacteria
Description: partial 16S ribosomal RNA
Rfam family: Bacterial small subunit ribosomal RNA
Source: RNAcentral